RNAcentral lists this ribosomal RNA (464 nucleotides) under uncultured Thiobacillus sp. RNAcentral describes it as "bacterial SSU rRNA". It matches the Rfam family "Bacterial small subunit ribosomal RNA", at positions 920 to 1382 of the family's 1533-position model. The record is from RNAcentral. Lineage: Bacteria; Pseudomonadati; Pseudomonadota; Betaproteobacteria; Nitrosomonadales; Thiobacillaceae.
CCCGCACAAGCGGUGGAUUAUGUGGAUUAAUUCGAUGCAACGCGAAAAACCUUUACCUACCCUUGACAUGCUAGGAACUUGCCAGAGAUGGCUUGGUGCCCGAAAGGGAACCUAGACACAGGUGCUGCAUGGCUGUCGUCAGCUCGUGUCGUGAGAUGUUGGGUUAAGUCCCGCAACGAGCGCAACCCUUGUCAUUAAUUGCCAUCAUUCAGUUGGGCACUUUAAUGAGACUGCCGGUGACAAACCGGAGGAAGGUGGGGAUGACGUCAAGUCCUCAUGGCCCUUAUGGGUAGGGCUUCACACGUAAUACAAUGGCCGGUACAAAGGGCAGCGACACAGCGAUGUGAAGCGAAUCCCGAAAAGCCGGUCUCAGUCCGGAUUGGAGUCUGCAACUCGACUCCAUGAAGUUGGAAUCGCUAGUAAUCGCGGAUCAGCACGCCGCGGUGAAUACGUUCCCGGGCCUU